CGACUUAUGAUGAGCUGUGUUUUCUGAGCAUGACCGCGUGAAGCUCAAUCUGAGUACUCUGAAGUCC
This is a small nucleolar RNA of Artibeus jamaicensis (Jamaican fruit-eating bat), 67 nucleotides long. RefSeq annotates it as small nucleolar RNA SNORD64. The record is from RefSeq and is a predicted model, not a curated record. The transcript has a single exon. Lineage: Eukaryota; Metazoa; Chordata; Mammalia; Chiroptera; Phyllostomidae.